AGGCCUUAGGGUUGGUAAAGUACUUUCAGCGGGGGAGGAAGGUGAUAAAGUUAAUACCUUUAUCAAUUGACGUUACCCGGCAGAAGAAGCACCGGGCUAACUCCCGUGCCCAGCAGCCGCGGGUAAUACGGAGGGUGGCAAGCGGUUAAUCGGAAAUUACUGGGCGUAAAGCGCACGCAGGCGGUCAAGUAAGUCAGAUGUGAAAGCCCCGAGCUUAACCUGGGAAUUGCAUCUGAAACUGGUCGGCUAGAGUUUUGUAGAGGGGGGUAGAAUUCCACGUGUAGCGGUGAAAUGCGUAGAGAUUUGGAGGAAUACCGGUGGCGAAGGCGGCCCCCUGGACAAAGACUGACGGUCAGGUGCGAAAGCGUGGGGAGCCAACAGGAUUAGAUACCCUGGUAGUUCACGCCGUAAACGAUGUUGAUUUAGAGGUUGUGGUCUUGAACCGUGGCUUUCGGAGCUAACGCGUUAAAUUGACCGCCUGGGGAGUACGGCCGCAAGGUUAAAACUCAAAUGAAUUGACGGGGGCCCGCACCAGCGGUGGAGCAUGUGGUUUAAUUUGAUGCAACGCGAAGAACCUUACCUACUUUUGACAUCCAGGGAAUCCUUUAGAGAUAGAGGAGUGCCUUUGGGAACGUUGAGACCGGUGGUGCAUGGCUGUUGUCAGCUUGUGUUGUGAAAUGUUGGGUUAAGUCCCGCAACGAGCGCAACCCUUAUCCUUUGUUGCCAGCGGGUCAUGGCGGGAACUCAAAGGAGACUGCCGGUGAUAAACCGGAGGAAGGUGGGGAUGACGUCAAGUCAUCAUGGCCCUUACGAGUAGGGCUACACACGUGCUACAAUGGCAGAUACAAAGAGAAGCGACCUCGCGAGAGCAAGCGGAACUCAUAAAGUCUGUCGUAGUCCGGAUUGGAGUCUGCAACUCGACUCCAUGAAGUCGGAAUCGCUAGUAAUCGUAGAUCAGAAUGCUACGGUGAAUACGUUCCCGGGCCUUGUACACACCGCCCGUCACACCAUGGGAGUGGGUUGCAAAAGAAGUAGGUAGCUUAACCUUCGGGAGGGCGCUACCACUUUGAUUCGUGG
Molecule: ribosomal RNA, 1077 nt
Filed under: Proteus penneri
Lineage: Bacteria; Pseudomonadati; Pseudomonadota; Gammaproteobacteria; Enterobacterales; Morganellaceae
Description: bacterial SSU rRNA
Rfam family: Bacterial small subunit ribosomal RNA
Source: RNAcentral